Long non-coding RNA from Oreochromis aureus, 341 nucleotides. The record is from Ensembl. Lineage: Eukaryota; Metazoa; Chordata; Actinopteri; Cichliformes; Cichlidae.
CCGAUUGCUGACACACCGUGUGUACGGACAGAUAGGAAAAAACAAAAAACAGAUGAGAAAAACAUCGAGUUGACAACAAAUAACGCUUCUAAAUGAUUUUAUUACCGCGAGAGAUGAAACAGACAGCCGCUGGAUGGGGAUAAAAAGCGGGGAGGAACAAGCAUAUGCGCCGAUGCAGACACGGGCGAAUUCACGCAAGUGGACUACGAAUGAGGAAGACAUUGUUGUUGCGCCAAAGUCUCCACAAUCUGUAGGAAAUGUACCUUUACCUUCAAGAAAAGAGGUAAUUAUUUGUAUAUUAUUUAGUAUUACAUUGUGAUACCUUGGAAAAACAUUAAUUU